GACGCAAUUGAGUGUUGUGCGCGGUGCAAGAAGUGUUGAGCAUGAAAUCGAGCUUUUUUUGGCUGGAGGAAGGACAACGCCUUCUGAUCCGAGAGAGCUUAUUUUCUAUUUGAAAUUUUGGUAAGAGUAGUUUAUUACUCUAAAUCCUGAUAUUUGAAAUAAUGUAGUGAUUUGGAUGCUUUGACUGAGUAGAUGAUAUGAUAUUGUGUGGAAAUUUGUUAUUUUGAGAAUAUCUUAGACUGAUGAUAUUGAAAAAUUUGGAACGCAUUAUGUAUAUGACGAUGUCGUAAGAUAAGCUUGAAAUACGGUGAAACAAAGAGCGGUUCAUGGUUCUUAGAUGUCCCAUGCGUGGAGAGGAAGAGGAGGAUUUGCUUGGGGCUGAUAGGGUUGACAACCCGUUAGGCCCAGAUCCGAAAAGUUCUAGUAGCCCGAGUGAGACCAAGCCUAGUAAGUCUCUAAUGGGCUUGAAUGGGUAGGAAAAAAAGACCUUAAAAGGGAACCCAAGUUAUGAUUGGGCCAAAUUAGAAGGAAAUAAUUAACAGAUUAAAAUUAUAUACAAAAAAGAGAGAGGGAGUUAAAAUCCUUGGUGGACCAUAUGAAGGGUUAUUAGGGAAAUUAAAUACUGGUGGGCCAAGUUUCUUUAAAUGGGUUAGAAGUGAAGAAUUUUGGGUAGAAUUAAGG
Molecule: long non-coding RNA, 681 nt
Filed under: Carica papaya (papaya)
Lineage: Eukaryota; Viridiplantae; Streptophyta; Magnoliopsida; Brassicales; Caricaceae
Description: long non-coding RNA (CPAP_LNC002385)
Source: RNAcentral